CCUACGGGAGGCAGCAGUGAGGAAUAUUGGUCAAUGGACGAGAGUCUGAACCAGCCAAGUAGCGUGAAGGAUGACUGCCCUACGGGUUGUAAACUUCUUUUAUAUGGGAAUAACAUGUUCCACGUGUGGGAUUUUGUAUGUUCCCUAUGAAUAAGGAUCGGCUAACUCCGUGCCAGCAGCCGCGGUAAUACGGAGGAUCCGAGCGUUACCCGGAUUUUUUGGGUUUAAAGGGGUCGUAGGUGGGUUGGUAAGUCAGUUGGGAAAGUUUGCGGCUCAACCGUAAAAUUGCAGUUGAAACUGGCAGUCUUGAGUGCAGGAGAGGUGUGCGGAAUGCGUGGUGUAGCGGUGAAAUGCUGAGAUAUCACGAAGAACCCCGAUUGCGAAGGCAGCACACCGGACUGCAACUGACACUGAGGCUCGAAAGUGUGGGGAUCGAACAGGAUUAGAUACCCGAGUAGUC
Molecule: ribosomal RNA, 460 nt
Filed under: uncultured bacterium
Lineage: Bacteria
Description: partial 16S ribosomal RNA
Rfam family: Bacterial small subunit ribosomal RNA
Source: RNAcentral